This 67-nucleotide transfer RNA is filed under the name Pseudhymenochirus merlini (Merlin's clawed frog). RNAcentral describes it as "tRNA-Ser". The record is from RNAcentral. Lineage: Eukaryota; Metazoa; Chordata; Amphibia; Anura; Pipidae.
GAAUAGGGUGGGCACACAAAGAACUGCUAAUUACUUUGUACCGCGGUUCAACUCUGCGGCCUCUUCG